AUCAUCAUAAGUGUAAAUUGGCCUAUAUUCUUUGAAGUAACUUUACUUUCAGAAUAAAAACUUCACUGAAUUUAGAAAAUUGAUGACUGCCAUAGAGUUGAAGACGACAGUAACAACUUCCAGUGUUAUCAACGCUGUUAUGUACUCGACCCUGUUCCAGAGAUACGGUAUAGUUGUCACUGUCGCCGACCUCAUGCAACAAUUAAGAGGCCAGCUAUUCGCCUUUAGCUACGAAAUUCGCCACGUAAGGAUUACGGUUACGCACGCACCCAUUCAUUUGGCCAAAAGAGAAGAGCGAUUGCUGCGACGUACAGUUUAGUGCAAAUGAUGCUACUUACUACACUUUACAUUGUUGUGAGACAUGAGUACAUAAGCCCUCACGUUGCCUGACCCAUCCUCCCCAAAAGUGCACAUUGUAGCCCCGGUCCACUGGCGUGCAACGUGUGAAACAUAAGGUACCGUUACGUGCGUGUGAUGUCGAGACGGUGUUACGGGUCGUGCCGAAACAUGGCCUAAAAUGCACAAUUUAUGAGUGUGGCACCAGCGCAUUCAUACAUUUCUGAUUUAUAUAUUACAUUAUAAGGGCCAAAUGCAUUAUACACGCGAGAGACAGGAUCAUACAAAACUUGGGAGACGCUCAAGCUUCGCAUUUAAGAGUACAAUGCGUUAGCAUAUUAGAAUAUAACGAUUCCCGGCUACUGCGGCUUAUGCAACCGUAAUCUUUACCGGGAAAUGCCUGGGGCGAACGCUAUGCAUGAAGGCGAACUUUCUAGUUCUUUUUUUUUUCCCGAAGACCCGGUGCCGCCACUCCCGCGGAAGCGCGGGGGCAAGCGCGAUCUAGUGGUGAUACAAGGAACCGAGCGCCGCUCUGUGAUUGGUAGAGCCUCGGCACGCCGCGAGCGCGACUCCCUGAUUGGUAGAAA
Dermacentor silvarum is the source of this 923-nucleotide long non-coding RNA. RefSeq lists it as uncharacterized. Lineage: Eukaryota; Metazoa; Arthropoda; Arachnida; Ixodida; Ixodidae. The record is from RefSeq and is a predicted model, not a curated record. The transcript has 3 exons.